GACGAACGCUGGCGGCGUGCUUAACACAUGCAAGUCGAACGGUAAGGCCUUCGGGUACACGAGUGGCGAACGGGUGAGUAACACGUGGGUGAUCUGCCCUGCACUUUGGGAUAAGCCUGGGAAACUGGGUCUAAUACCGAAUAGGACCACGCGCUUCAUGGUGUGUGGUGGAAAGCUUUUGCGGUGUGGGAUGGGCCCGCGGCCUAUCAGCUUGUUGGUGGGGUAAUGGCCUACCAAGGCGACGACGGGUAGCCGGCCUGAGAGGGUGACCGGCCAAACUGGGCCUGGGAUACUGCCCGGACUCCUACGGGAGGAAGCAGUGGGGAAUAUUGCACAAUGGGCGCAAGCCUGAUGCAGCGACGCCGCGUGAGGGAUGACGGCCUUCGGGUUGUAAACCUCUUUCAGUAGGGACGAAGCGCAAGUGACGGUACCUAUAGAAGAAGGACCGGCCAACUACGUGCCAGCAGCCGCCGUAA
Molecule: ribosomal RNA, 476 nt
Filed under: uncultured bacterium
Lineage: Bacteria
Description: partial 16S ribosomal RNA
Rfam family: Bacterial small subunit ribosomal RNA
Source: RNAcentral